Long non-coding RNA from Sceloporus undulatus (fence lizard), 1414 nucleotides. RefSeq lists it as uncharacterized. The transcript is spliced from 9 exons. The record is from RefSeq and is a predicted model, not a curated record. NCBI's taxonomy places the organism in Eukaryota, Metazoa, Chordata, Lepidosauria, Squamata, Phrynosomatidae.
UCCCCCGCAUUUGGAAUGUAAAAACUCUCACUCGCACUUGCCUUCAUUUUGCCAAUUCCUACCUGCAUUCUUGCCCCAUCCUUUCUUACUAUCAGAUUACAAAUGUGGAAAGCAGUAUUUCAAAUCCAUUCCAGCAGAACUGUUGCAGUGCCCAGCUCUGACACAUGUGAGGAGCAAAGCAUUUGGAGCAUCCUUCACAGCCAGAGAUAAAUGAAUUGAAUAUCAGGCUCCUUUUCAAGUAAAACCUGAACAUGACCAUCUAAUACUACCAUAAAAGAGAAUGAUUUCUUUCUUGGGAAGCAACUCAAUUUCUAACCCUUUUCCAGUGGAAGAACUGUCUUAAAGCAGUUGAUGGAACUGUAGCAACAUCUCAGCAGUUUCCAGAUGGCAUUCCUCCAAAUCAUUUCUCUGGUUUUACUACUGCAGGAUGUACUGAGUAGUACAGAAUUUUCCAAAUUCUCAUGUGAACCAUAUGUUGGAGAACGUGGAAAAAAUACUAAUAUUACUUGCAAGAGCAACCACAUUAUUACAGAUGUCACAAUGAAAUUCUGCUCUUAUAAUGAAAGCAGUUGUCCAGAAGAAAGUGAAAUCAACACGUUUGCUGGGAAGUAUACCUCCGAUGAUGGAAGAAUUUCACUGACGUUGGAUAAUUUUGCCAUUCUGAUUUUCAACAAUGUACAAAUAUCAGAUGAGGGAUAUUAUAAUAUUUUUCUUAAAGCUGACAAGGGAUAUGACACACUGAAUUCCUUUCUAAACAUUGUUGCACCCUAUACGAAACCACAGAUCACAAGAAAGAAUGAGACUGUUGUAUGCACAGCAGCUGGAGGAUAUCCAAUCAAGCACCUCUAUUGGUAUGAUAAUAAUGGAACCAAUCUGACUCACAAUUCAAAGUGUGAGCAUAUAAAAGGUGUGAAUGGCUCAUACUCUCUCAAAAGUUCUCUACAGCUGGAUUCUUUUGCCAAUGAAAUAACAUACUGCUGUACUUUCAACAACAGAGACAGUUCUCAUCCACUACAAACUUUUGAUUGCAUGACAUUUGAAAAUGGCAUAGUCAACAAAUCUGUAUCUGAAAAUACCACAAGAAAUUCCAUUCUGAUCCCGUUCCUGAUUAUCGUAGUGGCUGUUGCUAUUGCUGGGGUUUUUUACUGGACAAAAAAGAAAGGUGGCACUAAAUUAUGCUGGCAACAAGUUCCAGUUAUUUAAAAAAAGAAUUUCCUCUGGAUGUUGUUUCUCACAGAAGAGUACCAAUUCUGGAAGAAUCUUACUGAGACCAGAGAGAGAGAGAGAGAGAGAGAGGAAAAAAUCAAGGAAUAUUCAUUAUCAAGAUAUAGCCAUUGAUUCGAACAUUAAUGUGAAUGAAAUUAUUGUGGAUGGUGCUUUCUUUUGAUAAUGUACAUAUAGAUAUGUGAACUUU